AUAUACUACUACAAUGGAAUCUAAUAAUAAUACAAAGAAUACUAACGAAACACCGCCACCAGAAACAGCAGCAGCGGGAGCAACUGCCGCUGCCUAUGCGGAAGAAGAAGAAGAAUUAAGAGACGC
This 126-nucleotide non-coding RNA is filed under the name Thalassiothrix antarctica. Lineage: Eukaryota; Bacillariophyta; Fragilariophyceae; Thalassionematales; Thalassionemataceae. The record is from RNAcentral.